Molecule: unclassified non-coding RNA, 333 nt
Filed under: Hevea brasiliensis (rubber tree)
Lineage: Eukaryota; Viridiplantae; Streptophyta; Magnoliopsida; Malpighiales; Euphorbiaceae
Source: RNAcentral
CAUGGGAAGACCUCCUUGCUGUGACAAAGUUGGCAUCAAGAAGGGUCCAUGGACACCUGAGGAGGACAUUAUUCUAGUUUCUUAUAUACAAGAACAUGGUCCAGGAAAUUGGAGAUCAGUUCCUACUAAUACUGGUAAAAAUGCCAUAUGCUAUACAUUUAUCUUGUCUCUUUUCUGUUAUAUGUACAUGUUUCUGGAUUCAUAUAAGUUUUGCAUAUAUGAUCUUUGUUUAGAUUUUUCUUUCUUGGGUGAUUGAAUUAUGGGAAUUGGAACGUUAAUUCUUUAUUUUUGGCAAAAGGGUUGUUAAGAUGCAGCAAAAGUUGCAGGCUUAGA